UACGAAGGGGGCUAGCGUUGCUCGGAAUCACUGGGCGUAAAGGGCUCGUAGGCGGCCAACUAAGUCGGAUGUGAAAUCCCCAGGCUUAACCUGGGAACUGCAUCCGAUACUGGAUGGCUUGAAUCCGGGAGAGGGAUGCAGAAUUCCAGGUGUAGCGGUGAAAUGCGUAGAUAUCUGGAGGAAUACCGGUGGCGAAGGCGGCAUCCUGGACCGGCAUUGACGCUGAGGAGCGAAAGCUAGGGGAGCAAACGGG
Molecule: ribosomal RNA, 253 nt
Filed under: uncultured bacterium
Lineage: Bacteria
Description: partial 16S ribosomal RNA
Rfam family: Bacterial small subunit ribosomal RNA
Source: RNAcentral